RNAcentral lists this small nuclear RNA (90 nucleotides) under Procavia capensis (Cape rock hyrax). The record is from RNAcentral. Lineage: Eukaryota; Metazoa; Chordata; Mammalia; Hyracoidea; Procaviidae.
GUGCUCACUUCAGUAGCACAUAUACUAAAAUUGGAAGGAUACAGAGAAGAUGAGCAUGACACACAAAUUCAUGAAGCAUUCCGUAUUUUU